RNAcentral lists this ribosomal RNA (465 nucleotides) under uncultured bacterium. RNAcentral describes it as "partial 16S ribosomal RNA". It matches the Rfam family "Bacterial small subunit ribosomal RNA", at positions 28 to 507 of the family's 1533-position model. The record is from RNAcentral.
GACGAACGCUGGCGGCGUGCUUAACACAUGCAAGUCGUACGGUAAGGCCCUUUCGGGGUUACCCGAGUGGCGUACGGUGGCGUAACACGUGAUUAACCUGCCCACAACUUUGUUAUAACGCUAGGAAACUGGUGCUAAUACUGGCUAUGUGCUCCUGCUGCCUGGUGGGGGUUUGACAGCUCCGGGGGCUGUUGACGGAUUCGCGGGCUCUCAGCCUUGUUGUGGGGUAUUGGCCUACCAAGGCGGCGGGGGGUGGCCGGCCUGAGAAGGGGACCGGCCACAAGGGGACUGAGAGACGGCCCAGACUGCUACGGGAGGCAGCAGGGGGGAAUAUUGCAGAACAGGCGCGAGCGUGUUGCAGCGGCGCCGCGGGCGGGAUGACGUCCUUCGGGUUGGAAAACGGUUGCAGCAGGGACGAAGCUUGUAGUGACGGUACCUGCAGAAGAAGCACCGGCUAACUACGUG